This 301-nucleotide ribosomal RNA is filed under the name uncultured bacterium. RNAcentral describes it as "partial 16S ribosomal RNA". It matches the Rfam family "Bacterial small subunit ribosomal RNA", at positions 509 to 809 of the family's 1533-position model. The record is from RNAcentral.
CAGUAGCCGCGGUAACACGUAGGGUGCGAGCGUUAAUCGGAAUUACUGGGCGUAAAGCGUGCGCAGGCGGUUAUAUAAGACAGAUGUGAAAUCCCCGGGCUCAACCUGGGACCUGCAUUUGUGACUGUAUAGCUAGAGUACGGUAGAGGGGGAUGGAAUUCCGCGUGUAGCAGUGAAAUGCAUAGAUAUGCGGAGGAACACUGAUGGCGAAGGCAAUCCCCUGGACCUGUACUGACGCUCAUGCACGAAAGCGUGGGGAGCAAACAGGAUUAGAUACCCCAGUAGUCCCUGUCUCUUAUAA